UGGGGAAUAUUGCACAAUGGGCGCAAGCCUGAUGCAGCCAUGCCGCGUGUGUGAAGAAGGCCUUCGGGUUGUAAAGCACUUUCAGCGAGGAGGAAGGUGGUGAACUUAAUACGUUCAUCAAUUGACGUUACUCGCAGAAGAAGCACCGGCUAACUCCGUGCCAGCAGCCGCGGUAAUACGGAGGGUGCAAGCGUUAAUCGGAAUUACUGGGCGUAAAGCGCACGCAGGCGGUUUGUUAAGUCAGAUGUGAAAUCCCCGGGCUCAACCUGGGAACUGCAUUUGAAACUGGCAAGCUAGAGUCUCGUAGAGGGGGUAGAAUUCCAGGUGUAGCGGUGAAAUGCGUAGAGAUCUGGAGGAAUACCGGUGGCGAAGGCGGCUCCCUGGACGAAGACUGACGCUCAGGUGCGAAAGCGUGGGGAGCAAACAGAUUAGNUACCCUGGUAGUCCACGCUGU
This 454-nucleotide ribosomal RNA is filed under the name uncultured bacterium. RNAcentral's name for it is "partial 16S ribosomal RNA". It matches the Rfam family "Bacterial small subunit ribosomal RNA", at positions 355 to 803 of the family's 1533-position model. The record is from RNAcentral.